Molecule: long non-coding RNA, 1447 nt
Filed under: Malus domestica (apple)
Lineage: Eukaryota; Viridiplantae; Streptophyta; Magnoliopsida; Rosales; Rosaceae
Description: long non-coding RNA (MDOM_LNC007184)
Source: RNAcentral
ACUUGAUCUUGAAGGUGGAUUUGAGCGGAUCUUCAAAGGGGCUUUUGGGCUUGAUCUUUGAAGAACAGUGACGAACGGAUCUCCAAGGGCUUUUGGGCUUGAUCUUGAAGAACAGUGACGAACGGAUCUCCAAGGGCUUUUGGGCUUGAUCUUGAAGAACGGUUGGAUGUGUGGAUUUGUCGACGUUUGUUGAUCCAAAGGGCCGUUGGGGCUUGAUCUUGGAUGAACUGAUGAUGAACGAUGGUGCUUUCUUCAAGGGCCGUCGGGGCUUGAUCUUGAAUUGGUGGAUGGUUGAUCCAAGGGCCGUCGGGGCUUGAUCUUGGAAGAACGAUGAACGAAGAACGAAGAACACUUUCUUCAAGGGCCGUCGGGGCUUGAUCUUGAAUUGGUGGAUGAUUGUUGAUCCAAAGGGCCGUCGGGGCUUGAUCUUGGAAGAACGAUGAACGAAGAACGAAGAAGGCUUUCUUGAUUCUUCGGGAACCUGGAUGCUUGAGAGCUUCGGAGUUUCAGAGCUUCAGAGCUUCAAGGUGUAAUAUGAAUUGGUUCCUCAAAUGAAUGAAAUGGGCUUGUAUUUAUAGAAUUUUCCAAAGCCUAAUUUUGAAUAUAAUACCCUAGAUGAAAUAAGUCGUUUCUGCCAGGUGUUGACACGUGUCCUAUUUGAUGACUUUUCCAACUCAUUUCAAUUUUCGUUGAGUCACACGUUACGUGUAAAAUUUAUGUAAUACAUGAGCGUUGACACUUUGAUUUAUCGGUCAACAUUUAUUUACCGAAAUUUCGAUGUCUACAAAUGCCCCCACUUCAAGGCGCGUCGUAUACAUGUGCUUGUCACGUGUAAGAGAUGUGUUUUGAAGUCCCUUACUGUAGAUGUUGAUCCAAGGGCCGUCGAGGCUUGAUCUUGAAUUGGGCUGGAGAUUUCUUCAAGGGCCGUUGAGGCUUGAUCUUGAAUUGGGCUUGAGAUUUCUUCAAGGGCCGUUGAGGCUUGUUCUUGAACUUUUGUUUGAAAUUUCUUCAAGGGCCAUCUUGAUCUUGAAGGUUGAAAUUGGACCACAAGGAGUUUCAUGUGGUAGAUGAUCUUUGGCUUUGGUAGUGGGUGAAUCGGCACGUAUUUUGUUGCGCUUGUUGACUUUCCACAGCUUUGAUCUUGAACUGGGUUGGAGGGUUUUCUGGAUUCCUCCAAUUGUUGAUUUUCCACAGCUUAUUCUUGAACUAGGUUUUGAUUCAAGAGUGGUAGACACUUGAUCUUGAAUCGGACUUGUGAUUUCUUCCAGGGCCGUCAAGGCUUGAUUUUGAAUUUGGCUGGAAGCUUCUUCAAGGGCCGUUGAGGCUUGAUUCUUGAAGGUUAACUCGAACACAUGGCAAGCAGGCACGAGGUGAAGGUGACAACCUGUUUCUUUGUUCAAUCCUUCUAAUUCACACCUGAGCAGUUUGGUCAACGGUAUGAUCUUCA